CAGGCCUAACACAUGCAAGUCGAACGAHGAAGCCGGAGCUUGCUCUGGCGGAUUAGUGGCGAACGGGUGAGUAACACGUGGGUGAUCUGCCCUGCACUUCGGGAUAAGCCUGGGAAACUGGGUCUAAUACCGGAUAUGACCUCCUAUCGCAUGGUGGGUGGUGGAAAGAUUUAUCGGUGCAGGAUGGGCCCGCGGCUAUCAGCUUGUUGGUGGGGUAAUGGCCUACCAAGGCGACGACGGGUAGCCGACCUGAGAGGGUGACCGGCCACACUGGGACUGAGACACGGCCCAGACUCCUACGGGAGGCAGCAGUGGGGAAUAUUGCACAAUGGGCGAAAGCUGAUGCAGCGACGCCGCGUGAGGGAUGACGGCCUUCGGGUUGUAAACUCUUUCAGCAGGGACGAAGCGCAAGUGACGGUACCUGCAGAAGAAGCACCGGCUAACUACGUGCCAGCAGCCGCGGUAAU
Molecule: ribosomal RNA, 467 nt
Filed under: uncultured Rhodococcus sp.
Lineage: Bacteria; Bacillati; Actinomycetota; Actinomycetes; Mycobacteriales; Nocardiaceae
Description: bacterial SSU rRNA
Rfam family: Bacterial small subunit ribosomal RNA
Source: RNAcentral